Molecule: small RNA, 127 nt
Filed under: Marmota monax (woodchuck)
Lineage: Eukaryota; Metazoa; Chordata; Mammalia; Rodentia; Sciuridae
Source: RNAcentral
GUUGGGCACAGUGGCGCAUGCCUAUAAUCCCAGCUCCUUGGGAGGCUGAGGCAGGAGGAUCACAAGUUCAAAGCCAGCCUCAGCAAUUUAGCAAGGCUGUAAGAAACAUAGGGAGACCCUGUCUCAG